This 1533-nucleotide ribosomal RNA is filed under the name Vibrio parahaemolyticus EN9701072. Its description in RNAcentral is "bacterial SSU rRNA". It matches the Rfam family "Bacterial small subunit ribosomal RNA". Lineage: Bacteria; Pseudomonadati; Pseudomonadota; Gammaproteobacteria; Vibrionales; Vibrionaceae. The record is from RNAcentral.
UGAACGCUGGCGGCAGGCCUAACACAUGCAAGUCGAGCGGAAACGAGUUAUCAGAACCUUCGGGGAACGAUAACGGCGUCGAGCGGCGGACGGGUGAGUAAUGCCUAGGAAAUUGCCCUGAUGUGGGGGAUAACCAUUGGAAACGAUGGCUAAUACCGCAUGAUGCCUACGGGCCAAAGAGGGGGACCUUCGGGCCUCUCGCGUCAGGAUAUGCCUAGGUGGGAUUAGCUAGUUGGUGAGGUAAGGGCUCACCAAGGCGACGAUCCCUAGCUGGUCUGAGAGGAUGAUCAGCCACACUGGAACUGAGACACGGUCCAGACUCCUACGGGAGGCAGCAGUGGGGAAUAUUGCACAAUGGGCGCAAGCCUGAUGCAGCCAUGCCGCGUGUGUGAAGAAGGCCUUCGGGUUGUAAAGCACUUUCAGUCGUGAGGAAGGUAGUGUAGUUAAUAGCUGCAUUAUUUGACGUUAGCGACAGAAGAAGCACCGGCUAACUCCGUGCCAGCAGCCGCGGUAAUACGGAGGGUGCGAGCGUUAAUCGGAAUUACUGGGCGUAAAGCGCAUAUGAACAACCCACCGGACUGAGCACAGGGAUUUAAAAUCUGGUCUCGGAAUUGCAUUUGAAACUGGCAGACUAGAGUACUGUAGAGGGGGGUAGAAUUUCAGGUGUAGCGGUGAAAUGCGUAGAGAUCUGAAGGAAUACCGGUGGCGAAGGCGGCCCCCUGGACAGAUACUGACACUCAGAUGCGAAAGCGUGGGGAGCAAACAGGAUUAGAUACCCUGGUAGUCCACGCCGUAAACGAUGUCUACUUGGAGGUUGUGGCCUUGAGCCGUGGCUUUCGGAGCUAACGCGUUAAGUAGACCGCCUGGGGAGUACGGUCGCAAGAUUAAAACUCAAAUGAAUUGACGGGGGCCCGCACAAGCGGUGGAGCAUGUGGUUUAAUUCGAUGCAACGCGAAGAACCUUACCUACUCUUGACAUCCAGAGAACUUUCCAGAGAUGGAUUGGUGCCUUCGGGAACUCUGAGACAGGUGCUGCAUGGCUGUCGUCAGCUCGUGUUGUGAAAUGUUGGGUUAAGUCCCGCAACGAGCGCAACCCUUAUCCUUGUUUGCCAGCGAGUAAUGUCGGGAACUCCAGGGAGACUGCCGGUGAUAAACCGGAGGAAGGUGGGGACGACGUCAAGUCAUCAUGGCCCUUACGAGUAGGGCUACACACGUGCUACAAUGGCGCAUACAGAGGGCAGCCAACUUGCGAAAGUGAGCGAAUCCCAAAAAGUGCGUCGUAGUCCGGAUUGGAGUCUGCAACUCGACUCCAUGAAGUCGGAAUCGCUAGUAAUCGUGGAUCAGAAUGCCACGGUGAAUACGUUCCCGGGCCUUGUACACACCGCCCGUCACACCAUGGGAGUGGGCUGCAAAAGAAGUAGGUAGUUUAACCUUCAAAAAAGUAUCCGUUGUCCCACAACUCAUGACUGGGGUGAAGUCGUAACAAGGUAGCGCUAGGGGAACCUGGCGCUGGAUCACCUCCUUAAACGAUGAU